This 1254-nucleotide ribosomal RNA is filed under the name Staphylococcus aureus. RNAcentral describes it as "bacterial SSU rRNA". It matches the Rfam family "Bacterial small subunit ribosomal RNA", at positions 1 to 1236 of the family's 1533-position model. Lineage: Bacteria; Bacillati; Bacillota; Bacilli; Caryophanales; Staphylococcaceae. The record is from RNAcentral.
UUUAUGGAGAGUUUGAUCCUGGCUCAGGAUGAACGCUGGCGGCGUGCCUAAUACAUGCAAGUCGAGCGAACGGACGAGAAGCUUGCUUCUCUGAUGUUAGCGGCGGACGGGUGAGUAACACGUGGAUAACCUACCUAUAAGACUGGGAUAACUUCGGGAAACCGUAGCUAAUACCGGAUAAUAUUUUGAACCGCAUGGUUCAAAAGUGAAAGACGGUCUUGCUGUCACUUAUAGAUGGAUCCGCGCUGCAUUAGCUAGUUGGUAAGGUAACGGCUUACCAAGGCAACGAUGCAUAGCCGACCUGAGAGGGUGAUCGGCCACACUGGAACUGAGACACGGUCCAGACUCCUACGGGAGGCAGCAGUAGGGAAUCUUCCGCAAUGGGCGAAAGCCUGACGGAGCAACGCCGCGUGAGUGAUGAAGGUCUUCGGAUCGUAAAACUCUGUUAUUAGGGAAGAACAUAUGUGUAAGUAACUGUGCACAUCUUGACGGUACCUAAUCAGAAAGCCACGGCUAACUACGUGCCAGCAGCCGCGGUAAUACGUAGGUGGCAAGCGUUAUCCGGAAUUAUUGGGCGUAAAGCGCGCGUAGGCGGUUUUUUAAGUCUGAUGUGAAAGCCCACGGCUCAACCGUGGAGGGUCAUUGGAAACUGGAAAACUUGAGUGCAGAAGAGGAAAGUGGAAUUCCAUGUGUAGCGGUGAAAUGCGCAGAGAUAUGGAGGAACACCAGUGGCGAAGGCGACUUUCUGGUCUGUAACUGACGCUGAUGUGCGAAAGCGUGGGGAUCAAACAGGAUUAGAUACCCUGGUAGUCCACGCCGUAAACGAUGAGUGCUAAGUGUUAGGGGGUUUCCGCCCCUUAGUGCUGCAGCUAACGCAUUAAGCACUCCGCCUGGGGAGUACGACCGCAAGGUUGAAACUCAAAGGAAUUGACGGGGACCCGCACAAGCGGUGGAGCAUGUGGUUUAAUUCGAAGCAACGCGAAGAACCUUACCAAAUCUUGACAUCCUUUGACAACUCUAGAGAUAGAGCCUUCCCCUUCGGGGGACAAAGUGACAGGUGGUGCAUGGUUGUCGUCAGCUCGUGUCGUGAGAUGUUGGGUUAAGUCCCGCAACGAGCGCAACCCUUAAGCUUAGUUGCCAUCAUUAAGUUGGGCACUCUAAGUUGACUGCCGGUGACAAACCGGAGGAAGGUGGGGAUGACGUCAAAUCAUCAUGCCCCUUAUGAUUUGGGCUACACACGUGCUACAAUGGACA